GAUGAACGCUGGCGGCGUGCCUAAUACAUGCAAGUCGAGCGAACAGACGAGGAGCUUGCUCCUCUGACGUUAGCGGCGGACGGGUGAGUAACACGUGGAUAACCUACCUAUAAGACUGGGAUAACUUCGGGAAACCGGAGCUAAUACCGGAUAAUAUAUUGAACCGCAUGGUUCAAUAGUGAAAGACGGUUUUGCUGUCACUUAUAGAUGGAUCCGCGCCGCAUUAGCUAGUUGGUAAGGUAACGGCUUACCAAGGCGACGAUGCGUAGCCGACCUGAGAGGGGGAUCGGCCACAUGGGAACUGAGACACGGUCCAGACUCCUACGGGAGGCAGCAGUAGGGAAUCUUCCGCAAUGGGCGAAAGCUUGACGGAGCAACGCCGCGUGAGUGAUGAAGGUCUUCGGAUCGUAAAACUCUGUUAUUAGGGAAGAACAAAUGUGUAAGUAACUAUGCACGUCUUGACGGUACCUAAUCAGAAAGCCACGGCUAACUACGUG
This 497-nucleotide ribosomal RNA is filed under the name uncultured bacterium. RNAcentral's name for it is "partial 16S ribosomal RNA". It matches the Rfam family "Bacterial small subunit ribosomal RNA", at positions 28 to 507 of the family's 1533-position model. The record is from RNAcentral.